AUUUGAAAUCUCCGACGCUUGCGUCGGCGAGUUGUAGUUGCGAGAAGCACUUUCUCGGCGGAUCGGACGCGCCUAAGUUGCUUGGAACAGUACGUCGCAGAGGGUGACAACCCCGUCCGUGGCGCUUCCGGCCGCUCACGAUGUGCUUUCGAAGAGUCGGGUUGUUUGGGAAUGCAGCCCAAAACGGGUGGUAAACUCCAUCUAAAGCUAAAUAUUGACGUGAGACCGAUAGCGAACAAGUACCGUGAGGGAAAGAUGAAAAGAACUUUGAAAAGAGAGUUAAAAAGUACGUGAAACCGUUGAAAGGGAAACGAAUGGACUCAGCAAUGCGCCGCUUGAGAUUCAGCCGGCCGGCGGGGUCGGCCCGGGGUUUGCGGAUCCGAACGGACCGCGGUCUCGGGCUCGUCCUCGCCGACCGUCGCACUUCUCUUGGGCGCGCGUCAACGUCGGUCGGUUCUGGGUCUGAAGGGUUCCGGGAAGGUGAGUCCGCGCUUCUCUCUCCCCGGGGAGUCGUGCGGUCCGUUACAGCCCGGUUCUCGGAUCGGCUCGGAGUCGACCGAGGCGGUCGCAGCGCAUGCCUCUCGUGGCUAGGGUCCCGUUCUUCCGGCCGGUCGUCGACCGCGGUGGACUGCUUGCAGUGCUCCGCGACUGCUGCCGGUCGUUGGGGCGGUGAUCUCGUACAAUGCGCUUAGGACGUUGGCGGUCAUAUGGGUCCAUCCGACCCGUCUUGAAACACGGACCAAGGAGUCUAACAUGUGCGCGAGUCUCGGGGUGUUCUAAACCCAGAGGCGGAAUGAAAGUGAAAGCGGCCCCGGCCGCCGAGGCGAGAUCCCCGAGAGAAUCGGGGCGCAUCGUCGACCGACCUAUCCUACUCUUAGGAAGGUUUGAGUAAGA
Molecule: ribosomal RNA, 894 nt
Filed under: Rhizotrochus flabelliformis
Lineage: Eukaryota; Metazoa; Cnidaria; Anthozoa; Scleractinia; Flabellidae
Description: eukaryotic LSU rRNA
Rfam family: Eukaryotic large subunit ribosomal RNA
Source: RNAcentral